RNAcentral lists this ribosomal RNA (527 nucleotides) under Saccharomyces cerevisiae (brewer's yeast). Its description in RNAcentral is "LSU rRNA". It matches the Rfam family "Eukaryotic large subunit ribosomal RNA", at positions 115 to 656 of the family's 3401-position model. Lineage: Eukaryota; Fungi; Ascomycota; Saccharomycetes; Saccharomycetales; Saccharomycetaceae. The record is from RNAcentral.
UUGAAAUCUGGUACCUUCGGUGCCCGAGUUGUAAUUUGGAGAGGGCAACUUUGGGGCCGUUCCUUGUCUAUGUUCCUUGGAACAGGACGUCAUAGAGGGUGAGAAUCCCGUGUGGCGAGGAGUGCGGUUCUUUGUAAAGUGCCUUCGAAGAGUCGAGUUGUUUGGGAAUGCAGCUCUAAGUGGGUGGUAAAUUCCAUCUAAAGCUAAAUAUUGGCGAGAGACCGAUAGCGAACAAGUACAGUGAUGGAAAGAUGAAAAGAACUUUGAAAAGAGAGUGAAAAAGUACGUGAAAUUGUUGAAAGGGAAGGGCAUUUGAUCAGACAUGGUGUUUUGUGCCCUCUGCUCCUUGUGGGUAGGGGAAUCUCGCAUUUCACUGGGCCAGCAUCAGUUUUGGUGGCAGGAUAAAUCCAUAGGAAUGUAGCUUGCCUCGGUAAGUAUUAUAGCCUGUGGGAAUACUGCCAGCUGGGACUGAGGACUGCGACGUAAGUCAAGGAUGCUGGCAUAAUGGUUAUAUGCCGCCCGUCUUG